This 63-nucleotide transfer RNA is filed under the name Beringiana fukuharai. RNAcentral describes it as "tRNA-Trp". The record is from RNAcentral. Lineage: Eukaryota; Metazoa; Mollusca; Bivalvia; Unionida; Unionidae.
AAAGAUUUAAGUUAAAUAAAACUAAUAGCCUUCAAAGCUUUAAUUGAUUAAAGUCAAUCUUUA